AUAUUUCUCAAAUCAUUUGGAAUCUAAAAAAAUGUCUAACAUGAAAGUUGUUGGGAUUAUUUCUCUCUUCCAUAAUACAAUUUUUGUUUAUUUUUAUGACCAAUAGAAAAUUAAAAUAACAUUUUUCUCUUUUUAUGUAUUAUUUUUAAUGUAUUUAAAUCAUAGUAAUUUCAGAUUACAUGAUAAAAAUCCCAAAAAAUUUGUGAA
This 207-nucleotide long non-coding RNA is filed under the name Lathyrus oleraceus (garden pea). Its description in RNAcentral is "Pisum sativum (pea) long non-coding RNA (PSAT_LNC025507)". Lineage: Eukaryota; Viridiplantae; Streptophyta; Magnoliopsida; Fabales; Fabaceae. The record is from RNAcentral.